This 246-nucleotide ribosomal RNA is filed under the name uncultured bacterium. RNAcentral describes it as "partial 16S ribosomal RNA". It matches the Rfam family "Bacterial small subunit ribosomal RNA", at positions 57 to 305 of the family's 1533-position model. The record is from RNAcentral.
GCAAGUCGAACGGCAGCAUGGGCUUCGUCCUGAUUGCGAGUGGCGAACGGGUGAGUAAUACAUCGGAACGUGCCUAGUAGUGGGGGAUAACUACUCGAAAGAGUAGCUAAUACCGCAUGAGAUCUAAGGAUGAAAGCAGGGGACCUUCGGGCCUUGUGCUACUAGAGCGGCCGAUGGCAGAUUAGGUAGUUGGUGGGAUAAAAGCUUACCAAGCCGACGAUCUGUAGCUGGUCUGAGAGGACGACC